RNAcentral lists this ribosomal RNA (426 nucleotides) under uncultured bacterium. RNAcentral describes it as "bacterial SSU rRNA". It matches the Rfam family "Bacterial small subunit ribosomal RNA", at positions 356 to 774 of the family's 1533-position model. RNAcentral also lists the same sequence under 1 other name. The record is from RNAcentral.
GGGGAAUAUUGGACAAUGGGCGAAAGCCUGAUCCAGCCAUGCCGCGUGUGUGAAGAAGGUCUUCGGAUUGUAAAGCACUUUAAGUUGGGAGGAAGGGCUGCAAGUUAAUACCUUGUAGUUUUGACGUUACCAACAGAAUAAGCACCGGCUAACUUCGUGCCAGCAGCCGCGGUAAUACGAAGGGUGCAAGCGUUAAUCGGAAUUACUGGGCGUAAAGCGCGCGUAGGUGGUUUGGUAAGAUGGAUGUGAAAUCCCCGGGCUCAACCUGGGAACUGCAUCCAUAACUGCCUGACUAGAGUACGGUAGAGGGUGGUGGAAUUUCCUGUGUAGCGGUGAAAUGCGUAGAUAUAGGAAGGAACACCAGUGGCGAAGGCGACCACCUGGACUGAUACUGACACUGAGGUGCGAAAGCGUGGGGAGCAAACA